GACGAACGCUGGCGGCGUGCUUAACACAUGCAAGUCGAACGAUGAAGCUGGAGCUUGCUCCGGUGGAUUAGUGGCGAACGGGUGAGUAACACGUGAGCAAUCUGCCCUUGACUCUGGGAUAACUGCGGGAAACUGUAGCUAAUACCGGAUACGAGGCUCGAAGGCAUCUUCGGGUCUGGAAAGAAUUUCGGUCAAGGAUGAGCUCGCGGCCUAUCAGCUUGUUGGUGAGGUAAUGGCUCACCAAGGCGACGACGGGUAGCCGGCCUGAGAGGGUGACCGGCCACACUGGGACUGGGACACGGCCCAGACUCCUACGGGAGGCAGCAGUGGGGAAUAUUGCACAAUGGGCGAAAGCCUGAUGCAGCAACGCCGCGUGAGGGAUGAAGGCCUUCGGGUUGUAAACCUCUUUUAGCAGGGAAGAAGCGAAAGUGACGGUACCUGCAGAAAAAGCUCCGGCUAACUACGUGCCAGCAGCCGCCGUAA
Molecule: ribosomal RNA, 483 nt
Filed under: uncultured bacterium
Lineage: Bacteria
Description: partial 16S ribosomal RNA
Rfam family: Bacterial small subunit ribosomal RNA
Source: RNAcentral